RNAcentral lists this unclassified non-coding RNA (390 nucleotides) under soil metagenome. RNAcentral's name for it is "partial contains 5.8S ribosomal RNA, internal transcribed spacer 2, and large subunit ribosomal RNA". The stretch from base 1 to 122 matches the Rfam family "5.8S ribosomal RNA", at positions 35 to 154 of the family's 154-position model. The record is from RNAcentral.
GAUGAAGAACGUAGCGAAAUGCGAUACUUGGUGUGAAUUGCAGAAUCCCGCGAAUCAUCGAGUUUUUGAACGCAAGUUGCGCCCGAAGCCAUUCGGCCGAGGGCACGUCUGCCUGGGUGUCACGCAUCGUUGCCCCCCCCAAACUUCGGUUCGGGCGGGGCGGAAGUUGGCCUCCCGUGCGUGCCUGCGCGCGCGGUUAGCCCAAAAGCGAGUCCUCGGCGACGAGCGCCACGACAAUCGGUGGUUUUUUUACCCUCGUUCCUCGUCGUGCGUGCCCCGUCGCCCGAACGCGCUCUUGCGACCCUCACGCGUCGCCUCGGCGGCGCUCCCAACGCGACCCCAGGUCAGGCGGGACUACCCGCUGAGUUUAAGCAUAUCAAAAGCGGAGGA